UCAAGCAGAAGGGAAAAAAACUGAUGAACUGUAUGCAGCCACUCCAAACUACUCAUCAUGCCAGCAAAACUUUCAAAUUAAAUUCAUUGAAGUGUAUCUUGUACUUUAAAUUCACUUCUAGAGCACAGACUCUGCUGGCAAGGCUAGUGCCUGUCACCCAUCCUCGCGUGCUCUCGAUGGGGUGAUGAAGAGAUACCUUCCGGAACCACUGCUAUCCAGGAUUUUGACCCAGCCUGGCAAAGGAAUGGCUAGACGGUUCCAAGCCAGGACUGCAAAAGACUUGCAGCUGAUGACAUUGCUUUGCGCCUACCUCCUUUGUCUUUCUGGUUGGUAGACACAGCGGGCCUGUGUGGUGAUGUUGAAGAGCUUUGGUGCAGUGUGUAUGGCGGAUGGGACAAACUGCAGCCAUGGAGGUCUGGAAAAUCGUACGUCAGAUGGAAGCUGGCUACUUUCAGAGUGUCACAUGACCUCCAAGCUGAACUGCACAAUUUCAGAAGUUCGACUGGUUGAAAAUCGAGCCUGCACUGAUAACAUCAGAAAUGUGCCAAAUGACAUAAUUGUCUGUGUUGUCCCAGGAAGUUGGCUGAUGUUGUUUUGCGGUAUGGACAACCAAGGUUUAGCAGGACUGCUUCUGAGCGGGGAACCUCACUCCUUACUGUCCUCCUUUCCUAUGGGAACAAAGCCCGCACUACUUGACAACUCCACCUACCUACCAGUGUUACCAACUCCUCAACUCCACCACCACUUCCUGAUUCUUUUCUUGAUUUCUACCUGCUUUCCCCCCCCCCGCCCCCCAACUCUACCAUUGCCUAUUCACUGGUUGCUUCCCAGCAGGGCUCUGGUCUGACUCCAAAUGAGCUUCUAACUUGAAGCUUCAGGCACAGCCACAAACCUUCUCUCUCGAGGAAUGUUUUACUGAUUUUGGGCAAUAUGGAACUCUUACCUUUCUCCAGUCCCUCUACCAUCUCCCUGUGUUCAUCUUCUUCACAAGGGUCACCCCCUGCUAUGUUGAUCCCAAUCCAGUAAAUGCAUGCUUGACCUUCCUUUCUUGGUAUUGUGUUAGAGAAUAUGAUUAACAAAUCCCUCCCACCAUCCUGUCAUCUUCCCUUCAAAUCCUUUUCUCAACAUAAGCACCCCUAGUUCCCUCGUAGCACUGCUGCACAUCUCCAACCUCCCCAGGGUUCAGGAACAUGUUGUUACCUCUCUCAUCUUAUAAUGAUACAGACUGAGAUCUCCUCGAGAUCCUAGGAAACAAUCCCAUUAGUGAUGCACCAUCAAUAUCUCUCGGAGACGGGAGGCAAAUGAUAGGCAUUUAUUAGCUGCAAGAGACCACGAUUAGCAGCAAGAGACCACCACACAACAUCUUGGAGACUGAGGGAGGAGCAGUGCCUCCAACCGCCUUUAUACAGAGGUCUGUGGGAGGAGCCACAGGAGCAGUCAGCAGGGGGGGGGGGGGGGUCCAGACAGCUAUAUGUAGUUCACCACAAUUAGUUCAGUCUCCUUUUCCUUAUUUACCUGUAUCCCUGCAAAUUAUUCUCACUCUUGCAUACCUAUCAGCCCCACUUGAUUAUGUUGUCAGUAACUUCUACUAAGGGGCAACCUACAGUAGCCAGCUAACUCUCCAGUAUUUCCAAAGGAGGAAACCAGACCACCCAGGUGAAAUGCAUGUAGUGACAAGGAGAGUGCCUAAAUUCUGCAUAGACAGCACACGAAAUCAGCAGCACUUACUGCCACACCGCUGUGCCAUAUCCUUCCUGAUGUUCCAUAUUUGAAAAACUCUAGUUUAGCUUCCUUCCCUGCUAUCUAUUGAGUCUCCCAAGAACCUAACCUUGAUCAUCACCUCCUUCUUCUGAAUGUGGCCUCUGUGGUGAUAUCAUCUUAAAGCAGACUAAAUUCCACUUGUACAUUAUAAUGCUACAAGUAAGGGUGAAAUCUUACUGUCAUAUCUCUGAUACUACUACAAAAACCAUGCUUCCAGAAUUAGUUCACUCAGUGUAGGCAUCUAUAUUAAGCCCUUCACUGCUGGGUCCGGGCAGAAAAUACAAAGAAAAAGCAAAACCAAAGCAAACUAUUUUAGAAUCAUCCUGGAAUUGGAAGGUGGUCCUUGUGUUCUUUUCUCUAUAAAUAGACCCAGGAAUUUGUACAUGAUGUGCUGAUUUUUUUCAGAGCUAUGGAUUUAGAAGCUGGUUAUUUAUCCUGUGGACUGGAAUAGGGAUAACUUCCUACACUCAACUUUGGAGCAAUCUGGCUAGUAAAGGCACCUACAUGAGACCAUUGUUUAUUGACUACAACUCUGCCUUCAAUGCUAUAAUUCCAAGCAAACUCAUUACCAAACUCUGGAUUCUGGGAAUCAGCGCCUCCCUCUGCAACCGGAUCCUUGAUUUUCUGAUAAACAGAUCACAAUCAGUAAGGAUGGACGGCAAUAACUCUACCAUGAAUAUUCAAAACACUGGCACUCCCCAGAGCUACGUAUGCCCUCAGUCAUCUACUCUACUCUCUAUAAACACAGAACUACAUGGCCACGUUCUGCCCUAACUCCAUCUACAAGUUUGUAGAUGAUACCACUGUAUUAUGCCGUGUCUCAAAUAGUGAUGAGUCAUGCACGUACAGGAAGAAAAUGGAGACCUCAGUAACAUGGUGUCAUGACAACAACCUUUCCCUCAAUGUCAACAAAACAAAAGAGCUGGUCAUUGACUUCAGAAAGAGGAGCAGCAUACAUGCUUCUGUCGUCAUCAAGGGUGUUGACAUUGAGAGGGUUGAAAGCUUUAAGUUCCUAGGAGUGAUGUUCUGAUCCAGCCAUAUAGAUGUCCUGGUCAAGAAAGCUCUCCAACUCCUCUACUUCCUCAGGAGGAUAAAGAAAUUUGGUAUGUCCUCGUACCAAUUUUAUUGAUGCAUCAUAGAAAGCACCUUCUCUAGAUGCAGAAUUUCUAGGCAUGCCAGCUGAUCUGCCAGUGACUGCAAGAGACCGCAGAGUUGGGCACAACACGGAAAGCAGCCUCCCUCAAUGGGCUCAGUAGAGGGGAGGACCUCACCCAACACACAAUGCUUUUCCUGUUUUGUGGAUGUCCGUGAACAGUAGGAAUAUCAGGCUGUAUACUGUGUACAUUCAAUGGAACCAUUGAACCAUUGAUGAAGGAACAGAAAACAAGUGUGUUACACCCUGGAGAAGGGAAACAUUGUCUCAUUUGACAGUAUACAUGUAUGUAGUUAAAUCUUCUCCGUGGAUUGUCACCUUGUCAUGGUGGAGAAGCUUGUGUGGUCCUGAGAUCCCGAGAGCGAGGACGUCUGGAGCGAUGCUCCUGGUAGGGUCACCCAUGGCGGUAAGGUCGAGGGUGAGGUCCCUGACAAAGAACAAUCCAACCAAGACUUCAACGGUGGAACAGGCAGACGAAGUUACUACGAACUCAAUGGCUGUGCAACAAAUCUAUCAGCUCCAAUCAUUGUGGUUUCCAUGCCAUUGGAAUCAGUUGGUUGAUUUGUGAAGUAUCGUGUGCUUCUUGGAGUGCAACAUCAAGUCCACGUUAAACAAAUACACACACAGACAUCUUUGCUCUGUGGGCCACAUCUCCAAGAUUGGACUCGUAAGCCACUUGAGAGCCCAUAGAUAGAUCAAUGGAACGAAGACCAUCAUCCUCGACCUCGAGGGAUAGCCGUGAUGACGAUGUAGUUAAAUGACAAUAAACUUGGCUCCUCGCACAUGCUGGUUCUAUGCUAUACUCAUCUACCUUAUAACAAGCUCUAGGUCCUGUGUUGUAUCAAUACAUGGACACCUGUAUUGUGACACACACUGUGUCUGUCUUACUCCCUUUAUGGUGAACACCCAGCCAACACCUUACAGUCGGUUCAAUGGUCUAACCUAUACUGAGCUCACCCACCCCGUUAGCCUCAGAGUCUCUCUGGUUUGAGGGAGGAUGGAUUUGGGCUUUGUGCUUCACCUUGCACAAUGAUUUGGGUGUCCUUCCUACAAGCUCUGUGUUACACCUUGUGCUGUGCACGUUUGACAUUCCGUUACCCUUCACCUAAGGAAUCCCCACCAACCCCUCCUGAAUGCCUCAUUUGACUACAAGAAUCCAAGACUGACAUUCCAGAACAGAUUAACCUUGGGCAAAUAUUACAGUUUGAGAUGGGAUUCAUUUCCAAGACUAGGUAACCCAUCCUUUUUUUGUUUUCCAUUAUCUUAGAUAUGGGACCAGAUAAUGUAACAAGAGGGCAUGUCACUAUUCUUUCCUGCAAUCUAUUCUGUUUUGAGCUACUCAAAUACUGCAGGCUUGGUACCUUGAGAGUAAUUCAGAGCUCUGUGCAAAAUCUGUUCUGAAUCCUCAAAUUUGUCUGCAUGCUCACAACCUGUAUUUGGAAAGUCAAGUCGGCUUCACAAGAACCACAAGGAAUACACCUCCCCCUCCCACCAUUCCCUCUCUUUUCAGCUCUCUGUCAAGUAAAAUCAUCUUCAGCAUUGCUUUAAUCCCAUUUAAGACAAAAAGAGCCCACAACACCAUUAAAAUUAUCAAAUAGGUUGGGCAAAGGGUUCUUUGUUGGCAAAAGGAAGGAUCAACAGCACUUGAGAAGUUUUAGAUUGUCCUUGUAUAAGUGGUGUUCCUUGUAUACGUGUCAAAGAGCAGGGCCAGCAAUCAGUGCCGGCCCAUCAGACCAAUUUGUAAUUAGUUUUCCUCGGUUACCACGGAAACCCAAAUCACUCACCAUACCACUGUUAUCGUUGUUGAGUAAUAUUUUACUUUUCAGUCAAUUAUUACAUCUUCCCAGUUUAACGCCUUUGGAUUAGUUAGUGAUUUAUCUGUAGAACUGUUUGACAGACUUAUUAAAGUUGGUUGGCUGCUCCUUUACAAAGAUUGUUCUUGAAAAUUCACUGCUGGGUGCCAUUCCUUCUCAGUGCAAUGCAGCGAGAAGCCACUAGGCGGAGUUUUAGCAGUUGGCUGAUAACACCUUCAAUAUUGUAAUACUCAGGUGGUGAGAAGAAGAAUUUGGGGGAGCCAAAUGAUGUUAAGAGGAGAAAAAGUCAGCAGGAAUGUCACUCAGGGUUUCUCCAGGCCACUCCAGUCACAGCUUACUAAUGUAGGCUAGGAAGAUGAGGAGGUAUUAAAUAUUGACAACAGAUCCCUCAACCCCUACCCACUUCAAACCAGAGUUACCAUCAAUUUGAUCUAGCUGAUUCGUAUAUUACAUCCCCUCGCCCGGAUUUGCCCCAUAAUUGCUUGACACCCUUAUCUAACAAAAAUCUAUUGAUUUCACAAUUGAAAGAUUCAAUUACCUCACUUCUCCAGAUAUUUUUGAGGGUUUAAAAUCUAGUAUCUCCACUAUCUUUUGAAUUAAGAAGUGCUUCUGAGUGGUUUAUUUCAAACUUUCUGAUAAUAACCCCUCAUUCUUAAUUCACCUAUGAGAGCAUACCAUUCCCCCGAUCCAACGUAAGAAAUCGCCUUAGAUUUGGUAUCACCCGGAGAAGACCAGCCCUCACUAUCAGAGCACAGCAACAGUGUGACGUUAGACAACUGCAUGCUGGUUUGCAGCAGGCAUCUCAGUAACCAGCCACGGCUGCAAUGAUCUGUUAAGUUAACAAGUGGUGCAACCUGCCCUGACAAUCUAAGGCCUUAAACCUGGCAUCGGGCUGAUAAACCUGUGCUGCACUCCCUCAAAGGCCAAUAUUUCUUUCCCAAGUUCUGGUGCUGGAACUUAAAUGCAAUCCUCUGCACAGGGCUGGAACAAGAGUCUAAACAAAUGAAACUGAACUUCCUCCUCCUUGUAUCACAGCCCCCUAGAGGUAAAGGCCAACAUUCCAUUCGCCUUUCUGAUUACUGUUUGCGCAGUCUGCUCUGUCCCACAGUACCAGUGAGAACAUGAAAAUCCAAGUGGGGCUUAUCACAUGCUUAUAUGCUAACU
Long non-coding RNA from Hypanus sabinus (Atlantic stingray), 5892 nucleotides. RefSeq lists it as uncharacterized. The transcript is spliced from 4 exons. The record is from RefSeq and is a predicted model, not a curated record. Lineage: Eukaryota; Metazoa; Chordata; Chondrichthyes; Myliobatiformes; Dasyatidae.